AAAGUACUCCCUCCGUCCCAAAAUUCUUGUCUUAGAUUUGUCUAGAUACGGAUGNUCCCAAAAUUCUUGUCUUAGAUUUGUCUAGAUACGGAUGUAUCAAGUCACAUUUUAGUAUUAGAUAUAUCCGUAUCUAGACAAAUCUAAGACAAGAAAUUUGGGACAGAGGGAGUAGUUG
This is a non-coding RNA of Triticum aestivum (bread wheat), 175 nucleotides long. NCBI's taxonomy places the organism in Eukaryota, Viridiplantae, Streptophyta, Magnoliopsida, Poales, Poaceae. The record is from Rfam.